AGCCAUGUGGCAUAAUGGUUGGAGUGUUGGACUAUGACUCUGGAGACCAGGGUUUGAUUCCCAGCUUGGUCA
This 72-nucleotide transfer RNA is filed under the name Phrynosoma platyrhinos (Desert horned lizard). Its description in RNAcentral is "tRNA-OTHER". It matches the Rfam family "tRNA". From Rfam's summary of the family: Transfer RNA (tRNA) molecules are approximately 80 nucleotides in length. Their secondary structure includes four short double-helical elements and three loops (D, anti-codon, and T loops). Further hydrogen bonds mediate the characteristic L-shaped molecular structure. tRNAs have two regions of fundamental functional importance: the anti-codon, which is responsible for specific mRNA codon recognition, and the 3' end, to which the tRNAs corresponding amino acid is attached (by aminoacyl-tRNA synthetases). tRNAs cope with the degeneracy of the genetic code in two manners: having more than one tRNA (with a specific anti-codon) for a particular amino acid; and 'wobble' base-pairing, i.e. permitting non-standard base-pairing at the 3rd anti-codon position. The record is from RNAcentral. Lineage: Eukaryota; Metazoa; Chordata; Lepidosauria; Squamata; Phrynosomatidae.